UCCUUAAUAUAAAUUGAAGGUAAAAUUAGUAGUAGUUAUGAUCUAGAAACUUAAAGAUUUUGGCGGUAUUUUAGUCCUUUCAGAGGAGCCUGUUCUAUAAUUGAUAGUCCACGAUAAAUCUAACUUAUUUUAAAUAGUUUGUAUACCGUCGUGGUUGAGUAUUUCAUUAGAAUAAAAAUAUUCAAAGUUUAAAAUAAUAAAUGAAUUCAGAUCAAGGCACAACUUAUAAAUAAGAAAGUAAAUGGGCUACAAUAAGAUUAACUUAAUAACGGAUUAUUUAAUGAAAAAGAUUGAUGAAGGUGGAUUUGAAAGUAAUUAAGUCAAAUUUAGAUUUAAUGACUAAGGCUCUAAAAUAUGC
RNAcentral lists this ribosomal RNA (358 nucleotides) under Hydrochus group 4 sp. AHG-2011. Its description in RNAcentral is "partial 12S ribosomal RNA". The record is from RNAcentral. Lineage: Eukaryota; Metazoa; Arthropoda; Insecta; Coleoptera; Hydrochidae.